This is a long non-coding RNA of Xenia sp. Carnegie-2017, 756 nucleotides long. RefSeq lists it as uncharacterized. The record is from RefSeq and is a predicted model, not a curated record. The transcript has 4 exons. Lineage: Eukaryota; Metazoa; Cnidaria; Anthozoa; Malacalcyonacea; Xeniidae.
AACAAGUGAAAGUGAUUCGUGAUAUGGCCAUCUUUGUGACAAUGAAUCCAGGUUAUGCAGGACGAUCUAAUCUACCUGAUAACUUGAAGAAAUUAUUCCGUAGUCUGGCAAUGACUAGUCCUGACAGACAGCUUAUUGCACAAGUUAUGCUUUAUUCACAAGGAUUUAGGAUGGCUGAAAAAUUGGUCCAGCAAGAUUGUACCGUUCUUCAAGCUUUGUUUAGAGCAACUUUCAAGUCAAUCUCAUUACGAUUUUGGUCUUCGUGGGUUGAAGAGUGUAUUGAUCAGUGCCGGUAAUGUGAAACGAGACAAAAUAUCAAAAGUUAAAGAAGAACUUAAGGCCAAAGGUGAAGAUGUUGAUGAAGCUUCAAUAUCCGAUGGAUAAGAUGAACAGCAAAUCCUUAUUCAAAGUGUUUUUGAAACUGUGGUUCCCAAAUUGGUUGCUGAAGACAUUCCUUUGUUGCAUAGUUUGUUGUCUGAUGUCUUCCCUGGAGUUAAGUAUAUGGGCGUUGAAAUGAUUAAUUUGAAAGAAGAAAUUAAGAAAGUUUGUGCUGAAAUGUUUCUCACUUUUGGUGACGGUGAGGAUGAAGGAACCGCAUGGGUGGAUAAGAUACUUCAGUUAUAUCAGAUAAGUUUGAUUCACCAUGGCUUAAUGAUGGUUGGGCCAAGUGGCAGUGGGAAGAGCACAGCAUGGCGAGUUCUUCUUAAAGCUUUAGAAAGAUUGGAAGGUGUUGAAGGUGUUGCCCAUGUCAUUAAU